GGAUGGAGCGCGCCUUGGCCCGCUGGCCGUGGCUGCAGCUCCUCGGGAGAACCGGGGCGCCCACGCGAGAAUCUCCCCACCUGGGUCUGUCUUCAGGGAUGAUGUCAUCUGUUCACCUCCUUGUCUUCAAGGACCACCUCUCCAAGCCAAGCUGUUGCCAAGGUGCUUGCUGCUCAUCUCCACCUUAUGAAGACACUAGGAGCACCGAUUCGUGGAUCCCACCAGCAUACACAGCAGCCACGGGCAGAGACCCCCAGGACCAGGAUGACGAAGGAUGAAGAGGACCAGAACUGACAAGCCAGCUGUCCCUCUUGGCUAAAGGCUUAAACCAGUGCCCUAGUGAGGGGGCAUUGGCCGCUAACCCCUGACCUUUGCUAUGCUUGUGCUUGGUCUCUGUAAAUACUUUCCCAUAAGUCCUUGCUGCGUUAAUGUGCCAGCGACCUGGAGUGCUUCCCUCAGGAAGGUGUCAGUCUUUCUGAACUGACCCUGCUGUUGCCCUUAUGACGUCCUGAAUGGAAGGAUCCCUUUGGGAACUUUUCAGGAGGGGGACCUGGGCCAGAGGCUCUAGCAGCAUCUCACUGGCAAUUCCAAGGCCCAGGGUGGGCUUCUGGAAUGAGCAUGAGCCCUGAUGUCAUGCUACUGAACUGCCAAGGGCAUGCCCACGUCUUUUGAGAUCUCCCCGUCCUUUCUGGGAAAUGGGGAUGAGACGAGCGACCUCCCAGGGCUGUUGUGAGUCUUGAAUGAGAGAAGGCAGCCUUGAGCAGGGCUGGGCAUAGAGGAGGUGGUUGGCAAAUGUUUGUUGAAAAAGUUUGGCAGGUGAGUCCGUUCCCACCCCUCUCACUUGUCUGACUUAUUCUCCUACAGCACUCUGGACAGCCCCUGUCUGCUGGGCUCUCUGUGCACCAGGUUGGCCCCAUCCUUGGCACACUGGCUGCAACCUGGCUGGGUCGGCUGAAGAACCGGAUAGAAGAGGCAGAAGAGCCCCCGGAGGACCACUGCCCCGGACUACCUCCUCGACGGCUGCCUGGCGUCUCAUGCCCAGCCCUGCGCCUCUCGCCUCCUCCCUGGUUUGGGCUGAAGCCGUCAUCUGGAAUCUUCCGUGGGAAGGGACCUCGGACAUGGGAUCCCAGCACCCUCCAGCUUUAAAAUCGGCAGACUAGGAUGGAAGUGCCCUUGUGAGCUCGGGGGCCCUUCAAAGGGCCAAGGAAAAGCGCGGGCCAAGGGACCAGCCUCUCAAAUGGGCUUCGAGCUCCAAUGACCUUCGCUCACCCCCUUGAAGUGUCUGGAAAACAGAAUGGGCAGAUUUUCUGUCUUCAAAGUUUCCGGCUAAACCUCUUCAAGUUCUUUAUUGUUUGGGACUGAGACACUCAGCAAUGGUAAUGGGUCGUUUCUUUUGUAUUGGCCUUGAAAGGCCAAAAUAUUUUUAUAUUGCUACAGACAAAGCCGUCUAUUUAAAAAUGAACUCCGUGUCCGUCGUUUCCCACCGGGGGACCGUGUACAACGUGUGUGUCUCUAUGUACUUGAGGGUCUUGAAACAGGUUUCUCAUGGGGAUGGCCAUUCACAGGGGUCCAUGGGUGUCUGCCUUGCCCAGGGGGCUAGGGGAUCUGGCCCUAAUGGCAGGUCUGCCCCCCAUUUGUCUGGGAUGUGAGCCCCACAGGGUCUAGCUGCACUGACAUUAACUCUGCCUGUGCCUGCAUCCAUCACGCGUAUGUGUGUAAGGACUGUGGGUGUGCACACCUUGGUGAGAGGAAGCAGGAAGGUCUAAGAUAUUGUGAAUGUUCUCUGUUUCUUGUUGGGAGGUCAUUUCACUGAUAUCUGUUGCGUGAUCCACCUAGUGAAUGGAUGAAUGAGUGAAUGAAUGAAUGAAAGCACAGGGGAAUGAAUAAACAAAUAAAUAGGUAAAUAGGUAAAAUAAAUACGCAAACCAGGAUGAGAGUGUACACUGAACAAGAUCCAAUUUGCUGUAUAGAUCAACAUGUAAAUCAAUAAAAUAUGGAAUCGAUAUGUAAAUAGGGCCACACAGGAACCAAUGUCAGAUCAUCAUGGAUGAAGGAAUAUGUGUAAUUCAAAUAUAUAGCACUUAAAGUUUGUCAAUCAAAGAAUAAAACCUAAGUAAAAGAAAGAAUGAAUAAAAAGUGGAAAUGCGUGAACUCAUGGUGACAAUACUGUAUUGUAUACUUAAAAAUCUGCUAAGAGGGCAGUUCUUACGUUAAGUGAUCUUAUCAUAAAUGGUAGUAAUAAUAAUAAGAAAUAAGAGUGGGAGGAAACUUCUGGAAGCUAUGGACAGGUGUAUGACAUGGAUUGUGGUGAUGGUUUCACGGUAUAAACUUAUCUCCAAACUCAUCGAGUUGUGUGCAUUAAUUAUGUACAGGUUUUUGUAUGUCAAAAAAAAUUAAAAAAAUAAAGAGAAAGUAACUGUGGAAAAACCCCACAAACCAAUGGUGAGGAUGAGAUUAUGAGGCACGUUGAAAUGAACAGACACAGGAGAGAGGGGUCAAGUGAUUGAAAGGGGGAGGCAAGAAACAAAGUCAUAAAUAAAAGGGAGAAAGAUGAUUUUUUUUAAAUUAGGGGAUGAGUAAAUAUAUAAGGAAGGCCACACUGGGUUAUCACAGGCUAACCAUUAGGAUUGAUCCAAAUACAUGCUCCUGGCCUAGAAAAAUAGACAAGAGAGAAACAGUUCAGAGUCAAAAACGAAAGAAGACCUAGGGGACCAAAGAUGAGAGUUAACUUUAACCAAAAGCUUUCUAACUCUGGGCAUGCAUUAAUAAAUAAAUACUGACAUGAAAGAAAGCCAAAAGAAAAAAAAAAAAAGAAUGAUAAGUGAGCAGUGGAAAUACCUGGACCCAGGUAGGAGCAUGGCAGGAGCUGAGGUCUGUUAUAUGAAAGGAUAAAAGGAAGAGAAUAAAAUAAAAUAUCUAAAUAAAAAUCAAGAAAUAUGGAAGGAAAAGUAACAAACGUUAAGUCUAGAAAUACACUCCUGGGUGAAUAAAUAAAUAUGUAAAAGAAGGCAAUGGUAGGCGUGGUGGUAAAAGACCGUCAGGAGUCAAGGAUAUGGUCAGUCCAAUUCUAAAACCCACAGAUCAAUAAAUAAUAAGUAUCUAAAUAAACAAGUAAUGAGAAUCUAAAGAAACAAAGACAAGACCCGUGACCGGGGGGGAGGAGCCUGGCCCUCAGGCGCUCCUGAUGGGCAGGCUGGGAGGGUUGUAAUUAAUCCCAUCUGGGCACUGAAGCUCCAAGAGA
This is a long non-coding RNA of Diceros bicornis minor, 3241 nucleotides long. RefSeq lists it as uncharacterized. The record is from RefSeq and is a predicted model, not a curated record. The transcript is spliced from 6 exons. Lineage: Eukaryota; Metazoa; Chordata; Mammalia; Perissodactyla; Rhinocerotidae.